GACGAACGCUGGCGGCGUGCUUAACACAUGCAAGUCGAACGGAAAGGCCCUGCUUUUGUGGGGUGCUCGAGUGGCGAACGGGUGAGUAACACGUGAGUAACCUGCCCUUGACUUUGGGAUAACUUCAGGAAACUCGGGCUCAUACCGGAUAUGAGCUCCUGCUGCAUGGUGGGGGUUGGAAAGUUUCGGCGGUUGGGGAUGGACUCGCGGCUUAUCAGCUUGUUGGUGGGGUAGUGGCUUACCAAGGCUUUGACGGGUAGCCGGCCUGAGAGGGUGACCGGCCACAUUGGGACUGAGAUACGGACCAGACUCCUACGGGAGGCAGCAGUGGGGAAUAUUGCACAAUGGGCGGAAGCCUGAUGCAGCAACGCCGCGUGCGGGAUGACGGCCUUCGGGUUGUAAACCGCUUUCGCCUGUGACGAAGCGUGAGUGACGGUAAUGGGUAAAGAAGCACCGGCUAACUACGUG
Molecule: ribosomal RNA, 468 nt
Filed under: uncultured bacterium
Lineage: Bacteria
Description: partial 16S ribosomal RNA
Rfam family: Bacterial small subunit ribosomal RNA
Source: RNAcentral